This 62-nucleotide transfer RNA is filed under the name Tullbergia bisetosa. Its description in RNAcentral is "tRNA-Tyr". The record is from RNAcentral. Lineage: Eukaryota; Metazoa; Arthropoda; Collembola; Poduromorpha; Tullbergiidae.
GGUUAAAUGGCUGAUUAGGUGUUAAAUUGUAAAUUUAAUUAUAGGUUUGUACCUUUUAACUA